Molecule: long non-coding RNA, 3712 nt
Filed under: Homo sapiens (human)
Lineage: Eukaryota; Metazoa; Chordata; Mammalia; Primates; Hominidae
Description: HSALNT0051579
Source: RNAcentral
UAAAAUGUAGACUCACUGAGUGUGAGAGAAUGCAUCAUUGACUUUUUCCUCUAUUCCCUCUUUUCACAUGUAAAAUGUAGAUUUACUGAGGCUAAUAAGAGCCUCACAAGAAUGUGACCACCUGCCUCACUGCCUGCCUCCUUUUCUUCCCCCUGCUGCUUGCAGUUCCCCUUUUGUGAACUGAAGUUCACAAAACCCCCUUUGGAAAAAACAUAAAUCACAGGAGCAUCUGUAAUUUAUGCUUUUUCCCAGGCGCAUCCUCAGCUUUGGCCAAAUAAACCUCUAAUGGAUGGAGACUUGCUUCAGUCACUUUUUGGUUUACAUUUUGGUAACCACAAAGGGGCUUUCUGAGUGGAGUUGGCUCUUGGCCUGUAGCAACUCUCCUACUGGGGCCCUAGUACCAGCUGGAGCUCUUUAUUGCUCUGACCUAUUGGAUGAUUUGCUGAAGUCUGAGAGUUUCUCCCUCCAGAGAUCCCUAAUCACUCAAAAAUUUCCAGUUGAGAUCUGAAGUUUAUUCCACUGCAGAACUCCUUUUCUGAGAGUUCUUACUUCUAACAAGGAAGAAGACUUUCCUGCUUCCGUGAUGGCAGAGAGCAGUUUUCAGCUUGUGCCCCAUCUCCAGGGUGAAAGAUAUCUCCUUCAAAGCUUUUCAGGGGCCCAACUGGAAAAUCUUAAUGUUAAUUUAAGGUCAAAAGACAUAAUUUAGAAUUUGUUUUGGACAGGCACAUAGACCAAUGGAACAGACUAGAGAACUCAGAAAUAAAAUCACACCUCUACAACCAUCUGAUCUUCAACAAAGUUGACAAAAACAAGCAAUGGGGAAGUGAUUCUCUAUUUAACAAGUGGUGCUGUGAGAACUGGCUAGCCAUAUGCAAAAAUUGAAACUGGACCCCUUCCUUACACCGUAUACAAAAAUUAACUCAAGAUGGAUUAAAGACUUAAAUGUAAAACCCGAAAUUAUAAAAACCCUAGAAGAAAAUCUAGGCAAUACCAUUCAGGACACAGACGUGGGCAAAGAUUUUACGAUGAAAUUGCCAAAAACAAAAGCAAUGGCAACAAAAGCAAAAAUUGACAAAUGGGAUUUAAUUAAACUAAAGAGCUUCUGCACAGCGAAAGAAACUAUCAUCAGAGCAAACAGGCAGAAGAAGGUGGAAGGAGCUGACUUGCUGAGUCUUCCCACCUUCAUCUUUCUCUUGUGCUGAUGCUUCCUGCCCUCGAACAUUGAACUCCAAGUUCUUCAGCUUUUGGACUCUUGGAAACUUACACCAGUAAUUUGCCAGGGGCUGUUAGGCCUUCAGCCACAGACUGAAAGCCGCAUUGUUAGCUUCCCAACUUUUGAGGUUUGGGAACUCAGACUGAACCACCACUGGCUUCUUUGCUCCUCGGCUUGCAGGCAGCCUAUCAUGGGACUUCACCUUGUGAUCGUGUGAGUCAACUCUCCUUAAUAAACUAGAAUAUUUCUCAGAAGCCUGAACAACAUAACUUCUAAGACAAAGAUUUUUUGUGUGGACCAACUCACACUCUCCUUAAUAAACUCUCCUUAAUAAACUCCUUUCAUAUAUACAUAUAUCCUAUUAGUUCUGUCCCUUUGGAGACCCCUGACUAAUACACCACCUUCACUCAACUGGACUCUACAGGCAGAUACCCAAGAGACUGAUAUGGUAAGAAGUCUUAACUUUGUCAGAUGCCAGGGUUUCUUAGCUGCAGCCUCACAGUUAGCGGUAUUUGAUACCAACUUCACUGCCAGAACUUUAGGGAAGGAAAAACUUUCCCUCUACUCUCUGAGAGUUUGAUAAUUGAGUCUAAGAAAUAAACUGAUAGUAGACAAGUAAACAGGAGAAAGGUAUACAAAUUUAUUGCAGAAAAGUUAAUAUCCCAAAACCCAGUGAGAUCUAGAAGCAUAUACACCCUCUUCAUAGAGGGGAGGGCAGGAGUGUGGGCAACUUAGAGGAGAGUAAGUGAUUUUGGGGAAAGAUGAAUGACCCCCAGAAGAAGAGAUAAUAGCUUGUGACAAAGUCUGUCUGGCAUGGUGUGGACCUCCAGUCUCCUCUCCUGAGAUCCAAGUCAAUCUUCCCGGGUUAAUAAGACUCCUGGAGAGGAGAUUCAUAAAAAUUGAGUUCCUUUUGAGUUCAUCUUUAGGCAGAUAAGGGGAGCCCAGAGAGCCUAUGCCUAUAUUUGCUGUUUUCCAAGUGCCCUCUGUUAAAGUAAUCAGCAUAUCAAAGUGGCAUAUUUUGGGAUGUCAUUUCCUUAACUGUCUUACUUACAUGACAUGGGAACUUGAUAGACACCUAAAAAUUAAUGUGUCUGAAACUGGCUGAUGAUCUGAAAACUUGAUAUCCCUGCAGUCUUCUACACUUCAGUCUAUGGCAAGUCUAUUUUCUUAGGCCCAAAACCUUACCUCAUCCUUGACUCCCCUCUCUCUCUUAUACCCAUAUUCAAUCUACUGCAAAUCCAUAACUUUACUUUCAAAGAACACCCAGACUCUGCCUGCUUCUCACCAGCUCUAUGGCUAUCAUCCUGCUCCAAGCCACCAUUAUCUGGCCUCAGUUAUUAUAAUAACCUUCCAGCCAGUCUUCCCUCUUCCCCUCUUGGCCCCAUCCCCACGGUCUUUUACAAUACAGCAGCCAGAGUGAUCCUUGUAAAAUGUAAGUCAAAUCAUGUCCCUUGCGUACUCAAUGGUUCCCCAUUUUUCUCUGAAUAAAAGCCAGAGUCCUUAAAUGGCACACCAGACCCUGGAGGUUCUGGCCCUGCUUAUUUCCAUGCUCUCCCCUUGCUUGCUCCACUCCAGCCACACUGGCCUCUGCGGAGUUUUCUGAACUCACUAGGCAUGCCACUCAGAGCUAUGAAUUUGCUAUUCCCUCUCCCUGGACUACUCCCUCAUCACUAUAGCCAUAAGAUAGUGGAUAGAGAUAGUCCUCCCCGGACUGCUCCCUCCUCAGGUACAGCCAUAUGAUUUGCUCCCUUGUUAACAUCAUUUUCUCAAAGAAACAUUGACUUUAAGCCUUUCGAUGGCUCGUUCCUAACAGUAAAACCCAAGCUUGGCCUGCAAGUCCUGGAGCAAUCUAACUGCUUCUCCUCUCUGCAGAGUCAUCUCCCCGCUCUCUUCUCCCUGUUUACUAGACCCAGCCAUUGCAGCGUUCUUAUAGCUUUCUGAAGGCACCAAGUUCUUUGCUGUCCCUGCUUAGAACUCUUUUCCAUCUACUUCUCACUCACUAGCUCCAACUCAUCUUCUAGGUUUCAGAGCCCACGUCACUUCUUUAGGAACGCCCCUCCUCACUUACCCCUGCCAUCUAUAUUUGAUCUCUCUCUGUAAAGACUCUAUACUGUUCCUUCAUAGAACUUAAUGUAUAACUUCAUAUUCUCAUUAUGUGAUUAUUUGUGUAAUGAAUGUUUCUCCUACUCCACUGUAAGUUCCAUGAGGUCAAAAAUCUUGUCUGUCUGGUUGGUCACCAGAUACCCCACACCAGGCACAGUGCCCAGCUCAUAGUAUGUAUUUAAAAAUGAAUAGAUCUGAUUUUAUUAUACCUCUAUCUUACUUUUGCUAAUUUUUCAAAAGGACUUUAUUAUCUGUUUACCAGAAAAUAAAGUCUAUUAUCCAAGCUUGUGAUAGAUUUCUACUUGGCUAAAUAAAACAUAAUAUUCUUUUAGGUUCUCUGGGACUAGAGAGUAGUCGAAGAGCAAAUGAUUUUCAUUGGUUUAUAAUGUAUUCCUA